Amblyraja radiata (thorny skate) is the source of this 1790-nucleotide long non-coding RNA. RefSeq lists it as uncharacterized. The record is from RefSeq and is a predicted model, not a curated record. Lineage: Eukaryota; Metazoa; Chordata; Chondrichthyes; Rajiformes; Rajidae. The transcript is spliced from 3 exons.
CCCUGGUUGUUCCUCGGGAGCAGGGAUCCGGUCAACACGACCCUGAACUUCACACGAAGGGUGGAUUUGCUUUUCAUGAAGUUGAGCUGCCUGCUUGUGUAAGAGACCUUCUGUUCUUUGCAUCGAUACUGAGUCGGCCAGCAUCAGCCACCGUAUACUGCAACAGACAACAUCCACAUCCGCAGAGAAAUGGGAGAAGUUGCUUUAAUAAUUAAGAAGAAUAUAAUAGUUUGUAAAGGCUAGAGUGGCAGUAAACAAAUGCCAUAACAUUUAACUCCCCCUCAGGCCCCCUCUCCCCCAACCAGUAUCUGUAAACCGUGGAGGAAGGAACUGCAGACGCUGGUUUCUACCAGAUAGACACAAAAUGGGUGACGUUUUCGGGUAAGAACCCUGUGCAAAAAAGGGUUCUGAAUCGAAACAUAAUUUACUUCUUUUCUGUAGAGAUGCUGCUUGACCCGUUGAGUUACUCCUGCAUUUGAUGUUUAUCUGCAGUAAACCGUGGGCUGAUUUUGUGCACUAAAAUCAGUCUUUAAUAUGGGAUCUGUUGAUAGUUUGCUGUGGCAAAUUGUGACAUAACUGGGCAGCACAGUGACACAGCGGUAGAGCACCAGAGGCCCGGGUUUGCUGCUGUCUGUACGGAGUUUGCACAUUCUCGGGUGCUGUCUGUACAGAGUUUGUACAAUCUUGUACAAUCAGUUUGAACAAAUAAACCACAGCUGUUUCCUCCUCUGGACCUGUCCACCAUCCAAUUGCAAUGUAUUUGAUAAAAAAUAAUUGAUCUGUGUCCUGGCAUCAUCCCCUGCAUUUCUUUCUGUAGCUAUUAAAGCAUCUGCCUUAGUAAAAGUCCAGCAAUCACUUGCUUUGUCCUUUCUCAUGGUAAUCAGGUUGGGGCUUUAAUGCUCCAUCUUUAUGUUCUUGAUCUUUCAAAAACACAGAGACAUUGCCUCAGUUUACUGUCUCUCAUGUAGGGAAGAAUCCCCAGAAGCCUGGGAUUUGCUCGGCACUGCAAGGGGAUGGACAUCAUGUCCAAGGAAGGCGAUGGCUGAAGGCUCGCAGCAGCCUGGGGCUCACCUGGACCGGGCACUGCUCGUAUCAACUAGAGCAUGGUCUGGACUCUGAAAAUGGCACCAAAACACGUUGAAUAGAAGCACCAUUGAACCAUUGAUGUGUCACCUUGCAAGGGGGUGAUUUAAGUUAUCUGCAAUACAGUGAAUACGGUUCCCAAAUGGUCACAGAAGAAACAGAUUCAGUGAGUCUGUCUGGAGAAGGGUCCUAACCCAAAACGUCAUCUGUCCAUCCCAUCCACCUGAUACUACCUGACCAAGGCUAUCCACGGACCAGGGAAUGGAAUAAUGUCCACAGAUUGGGAACCCACCUGUAGGGCCCGGCUCGCCCGCUCUAAGAGGAAGUAAGCACUUCGGCUGCGACAGGGAUUGCACUACCUUGACGGUGGAGUGGGCCACUGGAGGCCCUGGAACAGCCUGGGGCUCAGCUGGACUAGGCGCCAUCCAAGAGGCCAAACAUUGGGACCAGACGCGACCUACAGCGGUGAAGGCUACCAGGGCUACGCUUGGCCAGGCCCGCCUUGCAACGUCGCCAGGAUAACGGGCCUUCAUGGUAAGGUCAAGACAACUGCAUUUACAACAACUGGGACUUGAACAUGGCACCAGAAACUGGUGUCACUCUAAACUGCCUCAGUGUACGCUAUACACUACUGUAUCUGAGAUGCUUAUCUAAGAUGUAUCUUGGUGCUGAUGUAUAGUAUACUUGUAUUGAACUGUAUACAAAAA